UUAAGCGACUAAGCGUACACGGUGGAUGCCCUGGCAGUCAGAGGCGAUGAAGGACGUGCUAAUCUGCGAUAAGCGUCGGUGAGGUGAUAUGAACCGUUAUAACCGGCGAUUUCCGAAUGGGGAAACCCAGUGUGUUUCGACACACUAUCAUUAACUGAAUCCAUAGGUUAAUGAGGCGAACCGGGGGAACUGAAACAUCUAAGUACCCCGAGGAAAAGAAAUCAACCGAGAUUCCCCCAGUAGCGGCGAGCGAACGGGGAGGAGCCCAGAGCCUGAAUCAGUGUGUGUGUUAGUGGAAGCGUCUGGAAAGGCGCGCGAUACAGGGUGACAGCCCCGUACACAAAAAUGCACAUAUUGUGAGCUCGAUGAGUAGGGCGGGACACGUGGUAUCCUGUCUGAAUAUGGGGGGACCAUCCUCCAAGGCUAAAUACUCCUGACUGACCGAUAGUGAACCAGUACCGUGAGGGAAAGGCGAAAAGAACCCCGGCGAGGGGAGUGAAAAAGAACCUGAAACCGUGUACGUACAAGCAGUGGGAGCCUCUUAAUGGGGUGACUGCGUACCUUUUGUAUAAUGGGUCAGCGACUUAUAUUCUGUAGCAAGGUUAACCGAAUAGGGGAGCCGAAGGGAAACCGAGUCUUAACUGGGCGUUAAGUUGCAGGGUAUAGACCCGAAACCCGGUGAUCUAGCCAUGGGCAGGUUGAAGGUUGGGUAACACUAACUGGAGGACCGAACCGACUAAUGUUGAAAAAUUAGCGGAUGACUUGUGGCUGGGGGUGAAAGGCCAAUCAAACCGGGAGAUAGCUGGUUCUCCCCGAAAGCUAUUUAGGUAGCGCCUCGUGAAUUCAUCUCCGGGGGUAGAGCACUGUUUCGGCAAGGGGGUCAUCCCGACUUACCAACCCGAUGCAAACUGCGAAUACCGGAGAAUGUUAUCACGGGAGACACACGGCGGGUGCUAACGUCCGUCGUGAAGAGGGAAACAACCCAGACCGCCAGCUAAGGUCCCAAAGUCAUGGUUAAGUGGGAAACGAUGUGGGAAGGCCCAGACAGCCAGGAUGUUGGCUUAGAAGCAGCCAUCAUUUAAAGAAAGCGUAAUAGCUCACUGGUCGAGUCGGCCUGCGCGGAAGAUGUAACGGGGCUAAACCAUGCACCGAAGCUGCGGCAGCGACACUAUGUGUUGUUGGGUAGGGGAGCGUUCUGUAAGCCUGUGAAGGUGGCCUGUGAGGGUUGCUGGAGGUAUCAGAAGUGCGAAUGCUGACAUAAGUAACGAUAAAGCGGGUGAAAAGCCCGCUCGCCGGAAGACCAAGGGUUCCUGUCCAACGUUAAUCGGGGCAGGGUGAGUCGACCCCUAAGGCGAGGCCGAAAGGCGUAGUCGAUGGGAAACAGGUUAAUAUUCCUGUACUUGGUGUUACUGCGAAGGGGGGACGGAGAAGGCUAUGUUGGCCGGGCGACGGUUGUCCCGGUUUAAGCGUGUAGGCUGGUUUUCCAGGCAAAUCCGGAAAACCAAGGCUGAGGCGUGAUGACGAGGCACUACGGUGCUGAAGCGACAAAUGCCCUGCUUCCAGGAAAAGCCUCUAAGCAUCAGGUAACAUCAAAUCGUACCCCAAACCGACACAGGUGGUCAGGUAGAGAAUACCAAGGCGCUUGAGAGAACUCGGGUGAAGGAACUAGGCAAAAUGGUGCCGUAACUUCGGGAGAAGGCACGCUGAUAUGUAGGUGAAGCGACUUGCUCGUGGAGCUGAAAUCAGUCGAAGAUACCAGCUGGCUGCAACUGUUUAUUAAAAACACAGCACUGUGCAAACACGAAAGUGGACGUAUACGGUGUGACGCCUGCCCGGUGCCGGAAGGUUAAUUGAUGGGGUUAGCGGUAACGCGAAGCUCUUGAUCGAAGCCCCGGUAAACGGCGGCCGUAACUAUAACGGUCCUAAGGUAGCGAAAUUCCUUGUCGGGUAAGUUCCGACCUGCACGAAUGGCGUAAUGAUGGCCAGGCUGUCUCCACCCGAGACUCAGUGAAAUUGAACUCGCUGUGAAGAU
RNAcentral lists this ribosomal RNA (2032 nucleotides) under Escherichia coli BIDMC 72. Its description in RNAcentral is "bacterial LSU rRNA". It matches the Rfam family "Bacterial large subunit ribosomal RNA", at positions 1 to 2060 of the family's 2925-position model. Lineage: Bacteria; Pseudomonadati; Pseudomonadota; Gammaproteobacteria; Enterobacterales; Enterobacteriaceae. The record is from RNAcentral.